RNAcentral lists this ribosomal RNA (301 nucleotides) under uncultured bacterium. RNAcentral's name for it is "partial 16S ribosomal RNA". It matches the Rfam family "Bacterial small subunit ribosomal RNA", at positions 509 to 807 of the family's 1533-position model. The record is from RNAcentral.
CAGCAGCCGCGGUAAUACGGAGGAUCCGAGCGUUAUCCGGAAUUAUUGGGUUUAAAGAGUGCGUAGGCGGAUAGAUAAGUCAGUGGUGAAAGACGGUGGCUCAACCAUCGCAGUGCCGUUGAUACUGUUUAUCUUGAAUAUGGAUGAGGUAGGCGGAAUGUGGCAAGUAGCGGUGAAAUGCAUAGGUAUGCCACAGAACACCGAUUGCGAAGGCAGCUUACCAAGGCAAAAUUGACGCUGAGGCACGAAAGCGUGGGGAUCGAACAGGAUUAGAUACCCGCGUAGUCCCUGUCUCUUAUAC